AGUAGUUUGAUCAGUGGCUCGAGGACGAACGCUGGCGGCGUGCCUAACACAUGCAAGUCGAGCGGAGACACGGGAACGGAAGGCUUCGGCCGGAAGAUCCCAUGUUUUAGCGGCGGACGGGUGAGUAACGCGUGAGCAAUCUGUCCUUCACAGGGGGAUAAGAUACCGAAAGGUGUUCUAAUACCGCAUAAGACCACAUUCCCGCAUGGGAGAGGGGUCAAAGGAGCAAUCCGGUGAAGGGUGAGCUCGCGUCCGAUUAGAUAGUUGGUGAGGUAACGGCCCACCAAGUCAACGAUCGGUAGCCGACCUGAGAGGGUGAUCGGCCACAUUGGGACUGAGACACGGCCCAGACUCC
Molecule: ribosomal RNA, 355 nt
Filed under: uncultured Eubacteriales bacterium
Lineage: Bacteria; Bacillati; Bacillota; Clostridia; Eubacteriales
Description: bacterial SSU rRNA
Rfam family: Bacterial small subunit ribosomal RNA
Source: RNAcentral